AUCAACGCUGGCGGCGUGCCUAACACAUGCAAGUCGCGCGCGAAAGGGGGGCAACCCCCAAGUAGAGCGGCGGACGGGUGAGUAACGCGUGGGUGAUCUUCCUUCGAGUGGGGAAUAACACCGGGAAACUGGUGCUAAUACCGCAUGACAUCCCUGGUUCAUUCCAGGGAUCAAAGCCGGGGACCGCAAGGCCUGGCGCUUGAAGAUGAGCCCGCGUCCGAUUAGCUAGUUGGCGGGGUAACGGCCCACCAAGGCUCCGAUCGGUAGCCGGCCUGAGAGGGCGGACGGCCACACUGGGACUGAGACACGGCCCAGACUCCUACGGGAGGCAGCAGUGGGGAAUUUUUCGCAAUGGGGGAAACCCUGACGAAGCAACGCCGCGUGGAGGAUGAAGGCCUUCGGGUCGUAAACUCCUGUCGACUGGGAAGAAUGCACCUGACCUAAUACGUCGGCGUGUUGACUGUACCGGUGGAGGAAGCCACGGCUAACUCUGUGCC
RNAcentral lists this ribosomal RNA (497 nucleotides) under uncultured Gram-positive bacterium. RNAcentral describes it as "bacterial SSU rRNA". It matches the Rfam family "Bacterial small subunit ribosomal RNA", at positions 29 to 509 of the family's 1533-position model. The record is from RNAcentral.